Molecule: ribosomal RNA, 300 nt
Filed under: uncultured Halomonas sp.
Lineage: Bacteria; Pseudomonadati; Pseudomonadota; Gammaproteobacteria; Oceanospirillales; Halomonadaceae
Description: bacterial SSU rRNA
Rfam family: Bacterial small subunit ribosomal RNA
Source: RNAcentral
GCUAACUCCGUGCCAGCAGCCGCGGUAAUACGGAGGGUGCGAGCGUUAAUCGGAAUUACUGGGCGUAAAGCGCGCGUAGGCGGCCUGAUAAGCCGGUUGUGAAAGCCCCGGGCUCAACCUGGGAACGGCAUCCGGAACUGUCAGGCUAGAGUGCAGGAGAGGAAGGUAGAAUUCCCGGUGUAGCGGUGAAAUGCGUAGAGAUCGGGAGGAAUACCAGUGGCGAAGGCGGCCUUCUGGACUGACACUGACGCUGAGGUGCGAAAGCGUGGGUAGCAAACAGGAUUAGAUACCCUUGUAGUC